Molecule: ribosomal RNA, 405 nt
Filed under: uncultured bacterium
Lineage: Bacteria
Description: bacterial SSU rRNA
Rfam family: Bacterial small subunit ribosomal RNA
Source: RNAcentral
GUGGGGAAUAUUGGACAAUGGGGGCAACCCUGAUCCAGCCAUGCCGCGUGAGUGAAGAAGGCCUUCGGGUUGUAAAACUCUUUCAGUGGGGAAGAUGAUGACGGUACCCACAGAAGAAGCCCCGGCUAACUCCGUGCCAGCAGCCGCGGUAAUACGGAGGGGGCUAGCGUUGUUCGGAAUUACUGGGCGUAAAGGGCACGUAGGCGGAUUGGCCAGUCAGGCGUGAAAGCCCCGGGCUUAACCUGGGAACUGCGCUUGAUACUACCAAUCUUGAGUCCGGGAGAGGGUAGUGGAAUUCCCAGUGUAGAGGUGAAAUUCGUAGAUAUUGGGAAGAACACCGGUGGCGAAGGCGGCUACCUGGACCGGUACUGACGCUGAGGUGCGAAAGCGUGGGUAGCAAACAGG